RNAcentral lists this ribosomal RNA (235 nucleotides) under uncultured Lactobacillus sp. RNAcentral describes it as "partial 16S ribosomal RNA". It matches the Rfam family "Bacterial small subunit ribosomal RNA", at positions 127 to 354 of the family's 1533-position model. Lineage: Bacteria; Bacillati; Bacillota; Bacilli; Lactobacillales; Lactobacillaceae. The record is from RNAcentral.
UGCCCAAGAGAUCGGGAUAACACCUGGAAACAGAUGCUAAUACCGGAUAACAACAGAUGAUGCCUAUCAACUGUUUAAAAGAUGGUUCUGCUAUCACUCUUGGAUGGACCUGCGGUGCAUUAGCUAGUUGGUAGGGUAACGGCCUACCAAGGCGAUGAUGCAUAGCCGAGUUGAGAGACUGAUCGGCCACAUUGGGACUGAUACACGGCCCAAACUCCUACGGGAGGCAGCAGGC